AUGCAGCACGUGGCAUCAAGCGGCACCCAUGUACCUGCCAUCGACGUCAUACAUAGUACCACGGCAAACGUCUCAUGGCAAGCUUCACAGAUUGCAGAUGGAGCACGUCAAUUUGGUGUGACAGACCACACAAGAUGGGCACAUGCAGCACCUACAACUACAGUGAACAGCAGCGCGGGGACAUCUACUGCGGGGAGCUCUGAGCGCACGGAAGGCGCGUUCCACCAGCUAGCCAACAAUCAUGCCGCAAACAAUGCCGAGUCAGAGUCGGAAAUGGCAAUCAUUCGAGCAAUGCCGACAAGCACCCCUUUGAACACAAGCACUGGCAACACUCAAGUAGAUGAAACUGCCGCCGAUACUGAAGUGAAUGAUGAAACUGAUGACGAAGCACAAGGGGAUGAAGAUUGUAGGCAAUCAAAGAUCAUGGUACCUCAGCCACCGUAUGUUGGGCAGAGAUUUGAAUCGUUUGUAGAAGCAAAGGAAUUCUACCAUACAUAUGCAAAGUUCCAUUGGUUUGGGGUCAACACUGAAUACCAUAGGAAAAUUAAGAAAACUAACGAGUACAGCAGAGGUGAGAUGAGGUGCCACAAGGCACGAGGGAACAAGAAGGGGAAAGGUGUUGCGCCUGUCGUUCCGGAACGAAAGAGAGGUAUCAUUCUCAAGACGGAAUGCCCUGUCCGGUGUAAGCUAAACAUAGAUGGAGCACAGUGGGUGGUCACUGAAUAUUUUGACGAGCACAACCACAAACUCAUAAAGAAGUUCAACCUGAUAAAAUUUCUGAUCGCCCAUAGAGGAUUCACCCCCCUCGAGAAGAAAUUCAUAAAGCUGCUACAUGAUUGUAACGUCGGUCCAUCAAGAAUGGUCCAGAUACUAUCACUCAUCCACAACAAAAAAGGGACUCUGAGUAGCAUGCCCUACAUACCAGCUAACGUCACAAACCUAAAGGCAAAGUACUAUAGAGAGAGCAAGUUGGCUGACAUAGAGGCCACAAUGGCCUACUUCGAUGAGAAAGCGAAGGAAGAUCCAGAUUUCUUCUACAGGAUAAGGUUGGACGAUGAGGACCGUGUCAGGAACAUAUAUUGGGUGGAUGGUGCUGCAAGAAGAGCCUACAAACAUUUCCCAGAUUGCAUUUCAUUCGACGCGACAUAUCUCACUAAUAUGUACAAGAUGCCAUGCGCUCCAUUCAUAGGAAUAAAUAACCACAAUCAGUCGUUGCAGUUCGGAUGCGGGCUCGUUCAGAACAAAGACACAGAUGGGUACAUUUGGUUGUUCAAGACGUUCUUGGAGUGCAUGGAUGGACUUGCUCCGAUGAACAUAAUAACAGACCAGGAUUUUAGCAUGCGUGCAGGCAUAGAGGAGGUCUUUCCGUUGGCAGUGCACAGGCACCGCAGGUGGCACAUUAUAAAGAAGGUUGAGGAGACGCUAGGACCGUUCUUUGCUGACCGUCCAGAGCUGCACAAGGCAUUCAAGCUGUGCAUGGACCACAGCAUGACGGUGGAGGAGUUUGAAAGGAACUGGAUGGCCAUGACUGAAACAUAUCAAGUCCAAGACAACGAGACUCUUGCUAGCCUGUGGGAGAAGCGAAUGUACUGGGUGCCAGCCUACUUCAUACAGUGCUUCUUCCCGUUUCUGCAGACUACGCAGCGCAGCGAGGGGUUCAAUGCUGUUUUGAAGCGGUACGUGAGCCCUGGCAACUCAUUGCUAUAG
Molecule: ribosomal RNA, 1707 nt
Filed under: Triticum aestivum (bread wheat)
Lineage: Eukaryota; Viridiplantae; Streptophyta; Magnoliopsida; Poales; Poaceae
Description: partial small subunit ribosomal RNA
Source: RNAcentral